Molecule: non-coding RNA, 336 nt
Organism: Erinaceus europaeus (western European hedgehog)
Lineage: Eukaryota; Metazoa; Chordata; Mammalia; Eulipotyphla; Erinaceidae
Source: Rfam
GAAUAUGAGGUCAAUCUCGCUGCAAUAUCUGUCACCCCAUUGGUCACCAGGGUUUAUUUGGCUGAUCUGGCUGGCUAGGUGGGUGUCCCCUUCCUCCCUCACUGCCCCAUGUGUGUUCCUCCUGAAGCUGCGUGCUCAGUCUAAGAGGACGGCCUUCCCCAAAUAGAGACGGACUGGACUUCGGUCAAGGGUAUAUGAGUAGUUGUGCUCCCUUGCUAGAACCUCCAAACAAGCUCUCCUCUAUUCAUUCUCCCUCUGCCACCCACAAAAAUACCCACCAAUAUCCAGUAGUCUUAUCAGUUAUCACACAGCGAUCUUAUCACAGUACUAAUAUAU